This 253-nucleotide ribosomal RNA is filed under the name uncultured bacterium. RNAcentral describes it as "partial 16S ribosomal RNA". It matches the Rfam family "Bacterial small subunit ribosomal RNA", at positions 524 to 776 of the family's 1533-position model. The record is from RNAcentral.
UACGUAGGCAGCGAGCGUUGUUCGGAGUUACUGGGCGUAAAGGGUGUGUAGGCGGUUCUUUAAGUUUGGCGUGAAAUCUCCCGGCUCAACCGGGAGGGUGCGUCGAAUACUGAGGGACUAGAGUACGGGAGAGGAAAGUGGAAUUCCUGGUGUAGCGGUGAAAUGCGUAGAUAUCAGGAGGAACACCGGUGGCGAAGGCGGCUUCCUGGACCGACACUGACGCUGAGGCGCGAAAGCUAGGGGAGCAAACGGG